Molecule: ribosomal RNA, 300 nt
Filed under: uncultured Caulobacteraceae bacterium
Lineage: Bacteria; Pseudomonadati; Pseudomonadota; Alphaproteobacteria; Caulobacterales; Caulobacteraceae
Description: bacterial SSU rRNA
Rfam family: Bacterial small subunit ribosomal RNA
Source: RNAcentral
CACGUGGGAACGUGCCUUUAGGUUCGGAACAACACAGGGAAACUUGUGCUAAUACCGGAUGUGCCCUUCGGGGGAAAGAUUUAUCGCCUUUAGAGCGGCCCGCGUCUGAUUAGCUAGUUGGUGAGGUAAAGGCUCACCAAGGCGACGAUCAGUAGCUGGUCUGAGAGGAUGGCCAGCCACAUUGGGACUGAGACACGGCCCAAACUCCUACGGGAGGCAGCAGUGGGGAAUCUUGCGCAAUGGGCGAAAGCCUGACGCAGCCAUGCCGCGUGGAUGAUGAAGGUCUUAGGAUUGUAAAAU